This 481-nucleotide ribosomal RNA is filed under the name Streptococcus sp. oral taxon 058. RNAcentral's name for it is "bacterial SSU rRNA". It matches the Rfam family "Bacterial small subunit ribosomal RNA", at positions 28 to 494 of the family's 1533-position model. The record is from RNAcentral. Lineage: Bacteria; Bacillati; Bacillota; Bacilli; Lactobacillales; Streptococcaceae.
GACGAACGCUGGCGGCGUGCCUAAUACAUGCAAGUAGAACGCUGAAGGAGGAGCUUGCUUCUCUGGAUGAGUUGCGAACGGGUGAGUAACGCGUAGGUAACCUGCCUGGUAGUGGGGGAUAACUAUUGGAAACGAUAGCUAAUACCGCAUAAUAUUGACUAUUGCAUGAUAGUCAAUUAAAAGGUGCAAUUGCAUCACUACCAGAUGGACCUGCGUUGUAUUAGCUAGUUGGUGGGGUAACGGCUCACCAAGGCGACGAUACAUAGCCGACCUGAGAGGGUGAUCGGCCACACUGGGACUGAGACACGGCCCAGACUCCUACGGGAGGCAGCAGUAGGGAAUCUUCGGCAAUGGACGGAAGUCUGACCGAGCAACGCCGCGUGAGUGAAGAAGGUUUUCGGAUCGUAAAGCUCUGUUGUAAGAGAAGAACGAGUGUGAGAGUGGAAAGUUCACACUGUGACGGAUCGUACCAGAAAGGACG